RNAcentral lists this ribosomal RNA (433 nucleotides) under uncultured bacterium. RNAcentral's name for it is "partial 16S ribosomal RNA". It matches the Rfam family "Bacterial small subunit ribosomal RNA", at positions 29 to 507 of the family's 1533-position model. The record is from RNAcentral.
AACGAACGCUGGCGGCAUGCCUAACACAUGCAAGUCGAACGACACCAUCGUGACUACUUGCGCACGCGUGCGUAACGCGUCGGAACCUUCCCGUAGGCUCGGAAUAACUCUCCGACAGGGGUGCUAAUACCGGGUAAUGUCUUCUGACCAAAGAUUUAUCGCGUUUGGAUGGGCCCGCGUUGUUUUAGCCGGGUGGUAGUGUAAAAGCCUACGAAGGCUACGAUACAUAGCUGGUAAGAGAGGAAGAGCAGCCACACUGGGACUGAGACACGGUCGGGAAUAUUACGGGAGGCAGGAGUGCGGAAUAUUGGAAAAUGGGGGGAAGCAUGAUGGAGCAAGGCCGGGUAAGUGAUGAAGGCCUGAGGGUUGUAAAGCUCUUUUACACGGGAUGAUAAUGACAGUACCGGGAGAAUAAGCACCGGCUAACUCCGUG